RNAcentral lists this ribosomal RNA (301 nucleotides) under uncultured bacterium. RNAcentral's name for it is "partial 16S ribosomal RNA". It matches the Rfam family "Bacterial small subunit ribosomal RNA", at positions 509 to 807 of the family's 1533-position model. The record is from RNAcentral.
CAGUAGCCGCGGUAAUACGAAGGGUGCAAGCGUUACUCGGAAUUACUGGGCGUAAAGCGUGCGUAGGUGGUGGUUUAAGUCCGUUGUGAAAGCCCUGGGCUCAACCUGGGAAUUGCAGUGGAUACUGGGUCACUAGAGUGUGGUAGAGGAUAGUGGAAUUUCCGGUGUAGCAGUGAAAUGCGUAGAGAUCGGAAGGAACAUCUGUGGCGAAGGCGACUAUCUGGGCCAACACUGACGCUGAGGCACGAAAGCGUGGGGAGCAAACAGGAUUAGAUACCCGGGUAGUCCCUGUCUCUUAUAC